This 301-nucleotide ribosomal RNA is filed under the name uncultured bacterium. RNAcentral describes it as "partial 16S ribosomal RNA". It matches the Rfam family "Bacterial small subunit ribosomal RNA", at positions 509 to 808 of the family's 1533-position model. The record is from RNAcentral.
CAGCCGCGCGGUAACACAGAGGGUGCGAGCGUUAAUCGGAUUUACUGGGCGUAAAGCGUGCGUAGGCGGCUUCUUAAGUCGGAUGUGAAAUCCCUGAGCUUAACUUAGGAAUUGCAUUCGAUACUGGGAAGCUAGAGUAUGGGAGAGGAUGGUAGAAUUCCAGGUGUAGCGGUGAAAUGCGUAGAGAUCUGGAGGAAUACCGAUGGCGAAGGCAGCCAUCUGGCCUAAUACUGACGCUGAGGUACGAAAGCAUGGGGAGCAAACAGGAUUAGAUACCCCGGUAGUCCCUGUCUCUUAUACA